This 695-nucleotide ribosomal RNA is filed under the name bacterium. RNAcentral's name for it is "bacterial SSU rRNA". It matches the Rfam family "Bacterial small subunit ribosomal RNA", at positions 193 to 872 of the family's 1533-position model. The record is from RNAcentral.
UUCAAUCAUAAAAGGUGGCUUUUAGCUACCACUUACAGAUGGACCCGCGGCGCAUUAGCUAGUUGGUGAGGUAACGGCUCACCAAGGCGACGAUGCGUAGCCGACCUGAGAGGGUGAUCGGCCACACUGGGACUGAGACACGGCCCAGACUCCUACGGGAGGCAGCAGUAGGGAAUCUUCCGCAAUGGACGAAAGUCUGACGGAGCAACGCCGCGUGAGUGAUGAAGGUUUUCGGAUCGUAAAACUCUGUUGUUAGGGAAGAACAAGUACCGUUCGAAUAGGGCGGUACCUUGACGGUACCUAACCAGAAAGCCACGGCUAACUACGUGCCAGCAGCCGCGGUAAUACGUAGGUGGCAAGCGUUGUCCGGAAUUAUUGGGCGUAAAGCGCGCGCAGGCGGUUUCUUAAGUCUGAUGUGAAAGCCCCCGGCUCAACCGGGGAGGGUCAUUGGAAACUGGGGAACUUGAGUGCAGAAGAGGAGAGUGGAAUUCCACGUGUAGCGGUGAAAUGCGUAGAGAUGUGGAGGAACACCAGUGGCGAAGGCGACUCUCUGGUCUGUAACUGACGCUGAGGCGCGAAAGCGUGGGGAGCGAACAGGAUUAGAUACCCUGGUAGUCCACGCCGUAAACGAUGAGUGCUAAGUGUUAGAGGGUUUCCGCCCUUUAGUGCUGCAGCAAACGCAUUAAGCACUCCGC